CAAUAGCGUAUAUUUAAGUUGUUGCAGUUAAAAAGCUCGUAGUUGGAUUUCGGUUAAGAGCGACCGGUCCGCCGUUUGGUGUGCACUGGUUGGUUUUAACUUCCUGUAGAGGACGUGCUCUGGGUUUAACGACCUGGACUCGGAGUCUACGUGGUUACUUUGAAAAAAUUAGAGUGUUCAAAGCGGGCUUACGCUUGAAUAUUUCAGCAUGGAAUAACACUAUAGGACUCCUGUCCUAUUUCGUUGGUCUCGGGACGGGAGUAAUGAUUAAGAGGAACAGUUGGGGGCAUUCGUAUUUCAUUGUCAGAGGUGAAAUUCUUGGAUUUGUUCAAGACGGACUACUGCGAAAGCAUUUGCCAAGGAUGUUUNCAUUG
This 374-nucleotide ribosomal RNA is filed under the name uncultured eukaryote. RNAcentral describes it as "partial 18S ribosomal RNA". It matches the Rfam family "Eukaryotic small subunit ribosomal RNA", at positions 592 to 975 of the family's 1831-position model. The record is from RNAcentral.